ACCUGCAUAAGCCACUCCCCAACUUUGUUGCAACUAGAAUCAUCAGACACACUCCUUCAUCCAUCUCCCCCACCUCUCAUUCUCUCAAAAACCCUAUGUAACAAAUAAACCUUCUCACCUUCAACCUCUCAAACCCACACAUCUCGACACAACCACCUCCCUCGUUCUCUUUCCUUCUCACGAAACGAAACGCAAAAGCCAUUCGCCGUAGUCGGAAUCUCACCAGGGUUCGAAGCAUCACCGGAAAGGUCAGAACUCGCCGGAAUCACGCCCGGAGUUCAUCGAGUCGGAUACGGUUCUUCUUGUUUUGCAUAAAAAAAAAUAAAGAAAACCGGAACCGUGACAAAGCCACGAUUUACGUUUCGCCACCCUCUCACCGUUGUUUCACUCGCGAGAACGAUAACAAACUCGUCGGAGAAAGCUAGUCGUCACCGGAGUUCACCGGAGCCGUCCGAAUCACGUCGGAGACUCCGAGAAGGCGACCGGAAAGCCCACGGCCCUUAUAUCAUUUCGGUUAAUCGCUAUCGUUCGUUCUCUUGGUUUCCUAAUCUUACUCGUGCGUUACUUACAAGAAAUCGCAACGCAACCAAUGUUGAGGAUUGAUGAUGCUAUAAAAACGGACUAGCAAAGAUGCCUAGAUACUCACAUAGACGUCUUAGGUCAAAUACGUUGUAUAAAUUUCAUAUUUGUUGUUGUAUUAUUUUCUUGUAUUUUUAAUGUAUUGUAACAUUUAUUCAUGAAUGAAAUCAAUUUAUCUUUAA
This is a long non-coding RNA of Helianthus annuus (common sunflower), 761 nucleotides long. RefSeq lists it as uncharacterized. NCBI's taxonomy places the organism in Eukaryota, Viridiplantae, Streptophyta, Magnoliopsida, Asterales, Asteraceae. The record is from RefSeq and is a predicted model, not a curated record. The transcript has 3 exons.